AUUGAACGCUGGCGGCAGGCCUAACACAUGCAAGUCGAGCGGAUGAAGGGAGCUUGCUCCUGGAUUCAGCGGCGGACGGGUGAGUAAUGCCUAGGAAUCUGCCUGGUAUUGGGGGAUCACGUCCGGAAACGGGCGCUAAUACCGCAUACGUCCUGAGGGAGAAAGUGGGGGAUCUUCGGACCUCACGCUAUCAGAUGAGCCUAGGUCGGAUUAGCUAGUUGGUGGGGUAAAGGCCUACCAAGGCGACGAUCCGUAACUGGUCUGAGAGGAUGAUCAGUCACACUGGAACUGAGACACGGUCCAGACUCCUACGGGAGGCAGCAGUGGGGAAUAUUGGACAAUGGGCGAAAGCCUGAUCCAGCCAUGCCGCGUGUGUGAAGAAGGUCUUCGGAUUGUAAAGCACUUUAAGUUGGGAGGAAGGGCAGUAAGUUAAUACCUUGCUGUUUUGACGUUACCAACAGAAUAAGCACCGGCUAACUUCGUG
This 484-nucleotide ribosomal RNA is filed under the name uncultured bacterium. Its description in RNAcentral is "partial 16S ribosomal RNA". It matches the Rfam family "Bacterial small subunit ribosomal RNA", at positions 30 to 507 of the family's 1533-position model. The record is from RNAcentral.